CGAACCUGCUGCUGUGCAGCGAGUGCGACCAGAGGAGCCGAACCUGCAGCGUCAGGCCCCAGACACCGAGUGCCUUGGCGGGACGUUACGUGGAGGAGCGCUUCCAGCAUGGCUGUAUCGAGAUGUGCUUUUAAACGAAACAGAGAGGAGACUGCGAAUUUCACUAUAUGAAAACUUUGGCGUCGAUCAUUCCGCAGAAACGUCCUCGCUUACAAGUCGUGCAAGAGUCGCUUUCGUUCGUUGGAUUUUAACGCUGAAAAGUUUCAUCGAGUAUAUCGUAUAUCGGACGACGACCAGAGAGAGAGAGAGAGAGAGAGAGAAAUAUUCAUGCUCCGAGAGUCCAGGAAUCUUAUCAAAAGUUUGCGUAUAACAAGAUCGACGACCGCUCGAGCGCGAGGACUCGGAGGACUCCCCGGCGUGCGCGCAGUGCGAAGCUCUGAGCGGUCCCCGGCAGCUGCAUCGGCGCUGCCCUCACUGCGAGCUCUCGG
Nasonia vitripennis (jewel wasp) is the source of this 488-nucleotide long non-coding RNA. RefSeq lists it as uncharacterized. The record is from RefSeq and is a predicted model, not a curated record. Lineage: Eukaryota; Metazoa; Arthropoda; Insecta; Hymenoptera; Pteromalidae. The transcript is spliced from 3 exons.